This 590-nucleotide ribosomal RNA is filed under the name uncultured crenarchaeote. RNAcentral describes it as "bacterial SSU rRNA". It matches the Rfam family "Archaeal small subunit ribosomal RNA", at positions 350 to 942 of the family's 1478-position model. Lineage: Archaea; Thermoproteati; Thermoproteota. The record is from RNAcentral.
CUGCAAUGCACGAAAGUGUGACAGGGCUACCCCGAGUGCCGUCCGCUGAGGAUGGCUUUUCUCCGCUGUAAGGAGGCGGAGGAAUAAGGAGAGGGCAAGUCUGGUGUCAGCCGCCGCGGUAAUACCAGCUCUCCGAGUGGUAGGGAUGAUUAUUGGGCUUAAAGCGUCCGUAGCCUGCCUUUCAAGUCUCUCGUUAAAUCCAGCGAUUCAAUCGUUGGACUGCGGGAGAUACUGUUAGGCUAGGGGGCGGGAGAAGCCGACGGUAUUUCCGGGGUAGGGGUAAAAUCCUAUAAUCCCGGGAAGACCACCAGUGGCGUAGGCGGUCGGCUAGCACGCGCUCGACGGUGAGGGACGAAAGCUGGGGGAGCGAACCGGAUUAGAUACCCGGGUAGUCCCAGCUGUAAACGAUGCGGGCUAGGUGUUGGAGCGGCUACGAGCCGCUUCAGUGCCGCAGGGAAGCCAUUAAGCCCGCCGCCUGGGGAGUACGGCCGCAAGGCUGAAACUUAAAGGAAUUGGCGGGGGAGCACCACAAGGGGUGAAGCUUGCGGUUUAAUUGGAGUCAACGCCGGGAACCUUACCGGGGGCGACAG